Impatiens glandulifera is the source of this 571-nucleotide long non-coding RNA. RefSeq lists it as uncharacterized. Lineage: Eukaryota; Viridiplantae; Streptophyta; Magnoliopsida; Ericales; Balsaminaceae. The transcript has 2 exons. The record is from RefSeq and is a predicted model, not a curated record.
CAUUUCGCUAAGUGCUUAGCAUUUCGCUAAGUGCUUAGCAUUUCGCUAAGUGCUUAGCUUUUCGCGAAAUGCUAAGCACUUAGCGAAACGGUUCUUGUCUGUCUUCAUCACAGGUGAGACUGAGCUCAGGAUUCUUAAAGGCUCCAGUUAGAGCCAGGAACCCUUUGAUGGUUGCAAAAGACUUAGGUGGAAAGUUUACAUGUUUCGAGAGGGAUUGGCUACGGAAAGAUCUGAACGUGAUUGGGUUUGGGUUGAUCGGAUGGUUAGCACCUUCCAGUAUUCCGGCGAUCAACGGACUCUUUCCAGCAUUGGGACUGAGCAAUUAAAAUAUAUUUCUGUUUCUUUCUAAUAUUAAUAUACAUAAAAAAGUAAACAAAUAGGUUAGGGCUGGUUACUUGGCACUUGGGAUUGUUCUUGGCAUUGACUUUUGGACAAAUUGGAUUCAAGGGCAUGACUGAAGAUUACUUCAGUAAAUAAAUAAAUUAAUUCUAAUUAAGAAAAUAAUAAUUUGUAAAAAGUGAACUACUUUCUUUGGUAUUUGUUAAUGAAUGUUUAAGCUACUUUUGUUUCA